RNAcentral lists this ribosomal RNA (332 nucleotides) under Castellaniella sp. RB1-7A. RNAcentral describes it as "bacterial SSU rRNA". It matches the Rfam family "Bacterial small subunit ribosomal RNA", at positions 64 to 392 of the family's 1533-position model. Lineage: Bacteria; Pseudomonadati; Pseudomonadota; Betaproteobacteria; Burkholderiales; Alcaligenaceae. The record is from RNAcentral.
GGACGGCAGCACGGGGAGCUUGCUCCCUUGGUGGCGAGUGGCGAACGGGUGAGUAAUGUAUCGGAACGUGCCCAGUAGCGGGGGAUAACUACGCGAAAGCGUGGCUAAUACCGCAUACGCCCUACGGGGGAAAGGGGGGGAUCGCAAGACCUCUCACUAUUGGAGCGGCCGAUAUCGGAUUAGCUAGUUGGUGGGGUAAAGGCCUACCAAGGCUGCGAUCCGUAGCUGGUUUGAGAGGACGACCAGCCACACUGGGACUGAGACACGGCCCAGACUCCUACGGGAGGCAGCAGUGGGGAAUUUUGGACAAUGGGGGCAACCCUGAUCCAGCC